CCCAACACCACCUUUUCUUCUGUUGGUCCUGAUAUUUCAUUGUAAGCCUUUUUCUCUCUAGCUUUUCAGCAGUGGAGAAAUUGGGAUAAAAUACCUACCUUCAGAAGAGCAUGCACUGCUACAGACCCUGCGCAGAGAAGAGGAAUUACCCAGCUGAGUAGAGGUCCUGGGCCAUAAGACAAUUCACAGAAGAAAGCUUCUGGGGAUGGUGAAAACACUCAAGCUGUAUGCAGAAAAUGAAUGGCUCUCAAACCGUAACAUGGAUCCAAAAUCAUGGUAAUUUCCAGGUUUCUUGCGGGGUGUUUAAUGACGAUCAUAGAGAAGCUACAUGAAAAAUAAUUGGAAGUGUUCUCAUUUCUGCAAAAGAUUUAAGUUGAAUGGGAUGUGUUCUUCAUGAAAAAACUAUCAUUUCUACAGUCCAUUAAUUGACAGGCCUGUAUGAAAGAGAGUUAGCCUGAUGUUCAAGGAUAUUUGUGAGCUUUUAUAAUCUUAACU
RNAcentral lists this long non-coding RNA (495 nucleotides) under Athene cunicularia (burrowing owl). Its description in RNAcentral is "lncRNA (ENSACUG00000009924.1)". Lineage: Eukaryota; Metazoa; Chordata; Aves; Strigiformes; Strigidae. The record is from RNAcentral.